AGAGUUUGAUCCUGGCUCAGGAUGAACGCUAGCGAUAGGCCUAACACAUGCAAGUCGAGGGGCAGCACAUGAGUAGCAAUACGAUGGUGGCGACCGGCGCACGGGUGAGUAACACGUAUGCAACCUACCUCUAACAGGGGGAUAACCCGUUGAAAGACGGACUAAUACCCCAUAAUACAGGGGCACCGCAUGGUGAUAUUUGUUAAAGAUUUUAUCGGUUGUAGAUGGGCAUGCGCAUGAUUAGCUAGUUGGGGAGGUAACGGCUUCCCAAGGCGACGAUCAUUAGGGGUUCUGAGAGGAAGGUCCCCCACACUGGAACUGAGACACGGUCCAGACUCCUACGGGAGGCAGCAGUGAGGAAUAUUGGUCAAUGGGCGAUAGCCUGAACCAGCCACGUCGCGUGCAGGAAGACUGUCUUAUGGAUUGUAAACUGCUUUUUCGGUAGAGUAAAGUGCGUCACGUGUGACGUAUUGCAAGUAUACCGGGAAUAAGGAUCGGCUAACUCCGUGCCAGCAGCCGCGGUAAUACGGAGGAUCCGAGCGUUAUCCGGAUUUAUUGGGUUUAAAGGGUACGUAGGCGGGGCGUAUAAGUCAGCGGUGAAAUUUUGCAGCUUAACUGCAAGCUUGCCGUUGAAACUAUCGUUCUUGAGUGUAGAUGAGGUAGGCGGAAUGUGUUGUGUAGCGGUGAAAUGCAUAGAUAUAACACAGAACCCCGAUUGCGAAGGCAGCUUACCGGGUUAUCACUGACGCUGAGGUACGACAGCGUGGGGAUCAAACAGGAUUAGAUACCCUGGUAGUCCACGCCGUAAACGAUGAAUACUCGCUGUUUGCGAUAUAGGGCAAGCGGCCAAGCGAAAGCAUUAAGUAUUCCACCUGGGGAGUACGUUCGCAAGAAUGAAACUCAAAGGAAUUGACGG
RNAcentral lists this ribosomal RNA (916 nucleotides) under uncultured bacterium. RNAcentral's name for it is "bacterial SSU rRNA". It matches the Rfam family "Bacterial small subunit ribosomal RNA", at positions 8 to 916 of the family's 1533-position model. The record is from RNAcentral.